This 690-nucleotide long non-coding RNA is filed under the name Fukomys damarensis (Damara mole-rat). RNAcentral describes it as "lncRNA (ENSFDAG00000022883.1)". Lineage: Eukaryota; Metazoa; Chordata; Mammalia; Rodentia; Bathyergidae. The record is from RNAcentral.
CAGAAUCCCAGAUGAGGAAAUCUGGGCUUGGUCUGCACUUACUCUGAGUUGUUCUUACAGUGAGGUCACACAAUGCAAGGGUCACCAAGGGAUUCGUUGGCAUCACUUCUUAGUACUCAGCGCCUCCUGAGAAGGGUCAGUGUCACUGUAGUUUUUGUCUUAUAGAAAACUUUCUCACUUGUAAUGUAGUUUACAAUUAUUUUAAGGGCUCUUAAUAAGUGAACUAGAUUUUCUUUGCUCCUAGGGAAAUGUAUAGAGUUCCUGCAUUGCUGCUGUGAGCUUUACAGGAACCUUGAAAAUGAAACCAAGCAGAAGUGGGGACAAAGGAAGCGUAUCUUGGAGGCAAAUGGAAAUUACUGUCCUGGAAACGGCUGCUCCGGUGUUUCUGCUGUCAAAAACUCUUGAUGUCCUCUAGAAAGAAAUGCAGGAUCAUAAGUGGACUGAUGUGUUCCAAAUUCCAGAUUUCCUGCCACCGGGUAUCUACUCCUUCCAGGGUUUUGAGCAUGGAAGCUUUUGUGGCUAUUUUUCCUUCUGCUGUGCCUUCAGCUAGCUGUUGGCCUGUGGUCUUGUGGGUAGACAGGGGAGCUUUCUCCUGCAGGAGUAGGUCCCACCCCAGGGUCCUCCACUCAUCAGACAUUUUGGAGCCCUCAAGUCCACCUGCCUGUCAACCAUCAUAAAGACUGAACCCAC